GGGGCCUGUGCUUCCAGCGGGUGGUGGGGGGCCUGGUGUGCUGGCAUCAAGUAAGCCGACUACCUCGGCAAAGGCUUAGGGACAAGAGACCAGCAGCCUGAACUGGCUGGGGCAUCCGGAAGGCUUAGAUCUUGUGGCCAAGAGUUCAGACCGUGGCGAAGUGGAGAGUGACAUGCAGUUGGAUGGCGGUGACUGCGUGGUAUGGAAGAAAAUUCAGCUGAAAUUUGCUAGAAAAUGAGUUGUUUUGGAAAGAGACUGUAGAGAAAGGCAAAUGGAAGAAGAAAGCUUCUGUGCCCCCACAGAUACCGACUGAAAAGUGUUAGCAUGAGCAAAAGUUCCUAUCUAAUAUUAUAUGCUUUCCUUUGCUCCCAGGUCCUGCAACCCUGGUUCCAGUCUGGCAAGCAUUGUAGACCUGGCUGCUGAAGACUGACGGGGCCCAGGGUCCGCUGCCCCCACCGCCAUCACCACCUCGGAACCCAGGGUAACGCUGUCAGUCUUUGAUGAUGUCAGAAGUGGGAUCCAAAGUAGAGCUUAUAAUGACACCUAGGAGUGCUGAGUGACCAAGCAAGGUACCCACCAGGCCGAUUAUGUCCAUUGUUCUCUUGGAGCAGCUGGUCAUCAUGUGUAUUUUCACCAAGUAAAGAAAGCUUUGCAUGGUUCACUGACUGAGAACAAUAAACCUCUUCUUAAUCGAGAACCUGAAGAUCAGAUCUUCUGAGAACAUCAGAAAAAGACUUCCCUUGCCAUCCACACUGCAGCAAAACUUCAGGACCUUAAAUGCUGGGUUCAUAAUUUCACAACUGAGAAGGGACCCUCCACACUCUUGGAACUGUACACCUAGACCAAACUAAAAUACAGUCACUCUUGCUAAAUGUAACAUAAUCAAACUAAGACUUUAAGGAAACAAGCAAAUCCUAGAAAAGACCAGGUUUUUGUAUUUUUUUUCCUCCUGUAAACAGUACCUUCCAACAUAAGGAGGUACCCUCUACUCUAACACUUACAAAAAUAAUAAGAAUAAUAACCUGGAGUCCUUGUAAGGUGAAACCUUACAAAACCCACUGCUCUGCUGUUUCCUAGUGGGUUUCAAGAGGAAAUAAGUACUUUUACAGUGGUGAUGGUGAAAUCAAUGACUAACAUUUUGGUCAAUCUCCCACAAUUUAGAGAAUGACCAAAACGGGGGAAUUGUUAAAUCAAGUUUAUCCUAAAUUGAUGGGAUCAAUCAUACUCCAAACCUUGACACUGCACAAUAUACCCAUGUAACAAACCUACACAUGUACCUCCUGAAUCUAAAAUAAAAGUUGAAAUUCUAAAAAAUGAAAUUAUUCUGGAGCUUUAAGAUUCAAUGCCUCUCUGCUGGGUUUUAUACUUGCUUAGAACCUCUUACUUCUUUCUUUCUUUGAUUCAUUUCUCCCUUUUGGAAUGGAAAUGUCUAAACUAUGUGCAUUCCACCAUUUUAUCUCAGAACUAAAUAACUUUUUUUAUAGGCUCAUAACUGGACUUUGGUCUUUUAAGUUGGUGCUGAAACAAGUUAAGACUUUAGAGACUGAUGGAAUUAUUGUAUUUUGUAUUCGAGAAGAACAUGACUUUUAGGGGGCCAGGAACAGAAUGCUAUGGUUUGGGUAUAGUUUGUUCUGUUGAAACUCGUGUUGGAAUUUGAUUUCCAAUGUUGCACUGUUGGGAGGAGGAUUCCAGUGGGAGGCAUUUGAGCUAUGGGGGUGAAUCCCUCAUUAAUACACUAAUACCUUUUCAUGGGGAUGAAUGAGUUCUCCCUCUCAUGGGAAUGGACUAGUUUCUAAGAUAUUGUGAUGGCAAAAUAUUCUGGCUCCUUUAGUUUCUAUAUCUUGCUUCCUCUGUUGCCAUGUGCUCCUUUGCACACACACUCUCCUGUUCCUCUUUCCACCAUGAGUGCUAGCCAUACCUUUCCUAUUCCUUUCCUCCUAUAACCUGUCUUGCCAUGCUUCAAGUCUGAAACCCUCAUCAGAUGCAGCUGUCCAAUCUUGAACUUUUCACCCACUAGAAUUGUGAAGCAAAUAAACUUAUUUUCUUC
RNAcentral lists this long non-coding RNA (2047 nucleotides) under Homo sapiens (human). RNAcentral describes it as "long intergenic non-protein coding RNA 1278". The record is from RNAcentral. Lineage: Eukaryota; Metazoa; Chordata; Mammalia; Primates; Hominidae.